This 1352-nucleotide long non-coding RNA is filed under the name Mus musculus (house mouse). Its description in RNAcentral is "predicted gene 5533 (Gm5533)". The record is from RNAcentral. Lineage: Eukaryota; Metazoa; Chordata; Mammalia; Rodentia; Muridae.
ACUCUGCCUCAGGGAAGGCAAGAGGCAGCUGCAGAGACAGCAUCACAUGGACAUACCUAACGUGCUGACUUGUCUCCACAGCAUCAUUCACCCUCAGGGUCUCAGCUGUGUGGUAUCUGCAUCGUGUUGGAUCUGGACCCCGCCCCCUCCGUUUAAGGAUGGGGUCUCCUGGUCCUGCUCCACCGACCAGGACCGACCGUGAUCAAGCUUGUUGUUUCCCUCUUCCUUCCUAUUCGGGAACUUGAAACAGGGGGGAAAAGUUUCUUCUCUCUGAGCUCUUUCUCGGGUACACAAUGAACGGAAGAGCCCAGUCCUUUGGACUUUCGGUUUCACCUGCUUCCAGCCAGCAGUCUAGCAGGCCUGACUUCUGCAGCCAGCCGGCUAUAUAGACUUCCGCUUACCAGGCAUGUCCGCUGGCUUCCAGCUAUUGGAAAAGGUUCUCUCUCCAUCUUCUCAGACUGUAGACUGUACAUUGCUCUUUCUUUGAAGCAAUCUAAGCAACCACCCUGCAAUGGUAGCUGGUUGAGGCAUAGCCUGAAGGGGUCCCUGGGGUGUCAACCAAUGACACUUUGACAGAACUUCUAACAUCGGACAUUGAGCCUUUUAAAAUGGCUUAAGUCUUAGCUACAGGCAGUGCAAUGCGUCAUAAGACACCUCCUGAGCUUGAAGCCUGGAGCCUGAUAAAGCACAUUUAUUUCAACAUGGGCGAGGGUGGUGAUGUGACCCAUAGGUGUUGUAAGUCUCAUGGCUACACCAUGCUCGUCUCUCACCCCUCGAGAUCUGAGUCUGCUGUCCACAGUCAUCCAUAUCAUAGCCUCGGAUUUUGGUCGGAGGAUAGUGACCUAUCUAUGGAUAGUGGCUAAUUGCACAGGUACAACUUCUAUGACCUACCUCGCGUACCUAAAAGCAGGGGUGGGGAGCCAUGGUGGCCAUGGUUGGGACAAAGAGCUCGCUAAAGUGAUUAAAAAACCUUCCUGUCAGCUGUGUCCCUUUACAGCCGUACACAGCUCAAGCACUACAGACACUUUUAGGAGAGUAAUUUUAGAUUCUAAGAUGUUCCAAACACCAAAUAGGAAAGAUAUUUUUCUAACUUGGGCAUGUUAAACAGCUCAUAGCAGUCCAUCCAAAGGAGCUGGGACCAUUACCAGGGCAGAGUCAUUACACCAGACAGAAGUAUUUGCCAGGGACCUGGAACACAGCCUCCUGUCCCUGAGAGGCUGAGGAACCCCAGCCAGCUGGCGCCAACAUUUCCAGUCGUCUGCUUGUACUGCAGCCAUGUGGAUCCUUACUGAAAAGCCUGAGAUUUCUCAAAAAGAAAGGGGAAAAAAAAAAAAAACCCAACCAAAAAAAAA